AGACAAUGCGUGGAUAAAGAUAACGACACAAUACAGCCCGGUGAUUGCUGUGGGGAUAUUACUGCUGUUCACAGCUGCUGUAAUUCUUAUUGCAAUUAUAAUCAAGAGGAAAAAAGGGAAUGAAGUCCAAGUUUACGACUUAAACGCAACUAAUACUCCAUGUUCGGCAGAGACAACCUUUUGAAACAUUAAAGUGCAAUUUGAUGAGAUUGUUCUACGUCAUAGUCAUGCAGCGUGGAAAAAAGCCCUUCGGCCCAACUGCACCCUUUCCAGCUUGAAACCACAAUCACAUCUGCCAGCCUUCAAGAUUUUAAAGGCCGCUCAAGACACGUUAAGCCAUAAACCACAAGCAGUCAUGCAGCUAGCCAGAGUCAAUAACGUCAUAGAGGCACACAGCAUGGCAACAGGCCCUUUGGUCCAAUUCGGCCACGCCAACCAACAUGUUCCAUCGACACUAGUCCCAUAUGCCUACGUUUGGCCCAUAUCUCUCUAAACCUCUCCAUGUGCCUGUCCAAAUGUAUUUUAUUCAUUGUAAUAGUACCUGCAUCAACAACCACCUUUGGCCGCUCAUUUCACAGACCCACCACUCUCUGUGUGAAAAAAAGUUGUCCUUCCUGUUCCAAUUAAAUCUUUCUCCACUCACCUUUAACCUAUGUCCUCUAGUUUUUGAUUCCCAACGCUGGGUAAAAGACUUUGUGCAUUUUACCAUAUCGAUUCCUCUCAUGAUCUUACACACUCUAAUAAGAUCACCCCUCAUCCUCCCGUGCACCAAGGAAUAAAGUGAUUGGCUGCUCAACCGCUCCCUAUAGCCCAGGCCUUCAAUUCCUGGCAACAUCCUCGUCAGACUUAUCUCCACCCACUUCAGCUUGACGAUAUCUUUCCUGUAACAGGGUGACGAAAAUCGAACACAAUACUGCAAAUGCAGUCUCCCCAACGACUUAUACCACUGCAACGUGAAACACCAACUUGUAUACACAAUACUCUGACUGCUAAAGGCCAAAGUGCCAAACAUCUUCUUGGCCUCCCUAACUGGUGAUGCAUAACAUGGAGUUAUAUACCCACAACCCUCUGCUCUGCUAAACUCCCUAUCUACCGGAGAUGCCACUUACAGGUAACUAUGUAUCUGGACACCUAGAUCCCUCUGCUCUCAAACACUGUUCCAGGACACUGCUAUUCACGGUGAAGCUCUUGACCUGAUUUGAUGUAAUGCUCAUGUAAGUUACUUGAAGUCACCUUUCCAAUAUCCACAUUUUUUAACAGACGACCACACGACCUAGGAGCAUCAUGAGACCGUUCGGCACAUCAAGUCUUCUUCGCCACUUGAUCAUGGCUGACCUAGAUUUCCCUCUCAUCCCCAUUCACCUGCCUUCUCCUCGGAACCGUUGACGCCAUUUUUAAUUGAUAACCUAUCAAUUUCCGCUAUUAAAUAUACCUAUUGAUUCGGCCUCCAUUGCCGGCUGUGGCAAUUAAUUCGACAUUAUCACCGCCCUCUGGCAAAUAAAUUCCUAUUCACCUUUCUUAAGGAAUGUUAUUUUAUUCUGAAGUUCUGCCAUUUGAUUCUAAACUCUCCCACAACUGGAAACACCCUCCCCACAUUCACAUCAUCCAGGCCUUCCAUUAUUGAGUACGCUUUAAUUAGGUCCCCCCUCAUGCUUCUAAACAUUAGCGAGUCAAGGCCCAGUGCCUUUAAACGCUCAUCAUACGUCAACCCAAUCAUCCCUGGGAUCAGUACCGAAACCAUCCUCUAGACCCCCUCCCUCGCCAGCAAACAUAUCGGGUCCAAAACUUCCCGCAAUUUUCCAAAAGACACAGAAGCAGAUUGAGGCCAUUUAGCCCAUAGAGUCUACUCCGGCAUUCAUUCAUGACUGAUUUAUCUUUCCAAAUCAACCCCGUUUUCCUGCCUUGAACCCGUAUUCUUUGACGCCCUUACUAAUUAAGGCAUGUUAGCAAUAUUUGCCUUGAAGAACAAUAUGUUCAGUUUAGUUUAUUUUUUUGCACUGUUAUUUGCACUGAUAAGCAUUGUUUGCAUGCCUUCCAGUCAGCGGUUGACAAUCAUAUCGCUUUAUGUAUUUAAAGAGUUAUCAUUAGUCUAAGUAUUAUUUUAACGUGAUAUUAGUUGAGUUCAGUUUAUUGUCACACAUACCGCGGUACUGUGAAAAGUCUGAUGACAGCUGGGAAGAUACUGACCCCUCUGGAAGUGAGCUUCUACAGAAUUAUGUACAUUUUGCCCGUUGGGAGAGAGGAGAAGAGGGUGGCAGGGUGCGACUCAUUUUUGAUUUGCUGGUGGCCUUGCCGGGCAGCCUGAGGUAUAAAUGUAUUCAUUUUUUAUUUUUUUUUGAAAAUAUUUUUUAUUGGAGAUAGGUACAUAAUCUAUUACAUCAUUACUGUCUUACAUUUUUAAAUUGAUAAUAUUGUCGGUUAUUAUUACAUUGUCUCCAAUACUUUUUGCCUUUUUCUUCAUUUUUUUUAAAAACUAGAUAGAACUAAAGAGAUAGAUGAAAUAGAGGAAGAAAAGAAAGGAAAGAAAAACAAAAACAAAACAAAAAAAAGGGGGAAAGAGAUAGUUAAAGAAGAAUGGAAAAAUUUAUUAAAAUAAAAAACAUCGUUCGAGAUAUGUUCGUACAUUUCAGAGUGUAGCAUUUCAUCCAAUCUUUAGCCCGAGUGCUAGUCAGGUUCCUGUGCUGAACUAUUCUGACCCUUUAAGUAAUCAAUAAAAGGAGACCAUGUUCCAACGAAUAAUUCCUGUUUGUCCAACAGGGAAAAUCUGAUUCUUUCCACGUUUAAGGUCUCCGUCAUUUCUAUAAUCCACAUUUUGAUUGUGGGGGCCGUAGGGCCUUUCCAAAAUUUUAGAAUUAAUUUUUUUCCUGUUAUUAAACUAUAAUCAAUAAAGUUUCUUUGUGUUA
Long non-coding RNA from Leucoraja erinaceus (little skate), 2903 nucleotides. RefSeq lists it as uncharacterized. The record is from RefSeq and is a predicted model, not a curated record. The transcript has 2 exons. NCBI's taxonomy places the organism in Eukaryota, Metazoa, Chordata, Chondrichthyes, Rajiformes, Rajidae.